GGCCCGCUAGCUCAAUAUGGCAGAGCAGGGGACUCUUAAUCCCUUGGUUACAGGUUCGAGUCCUGUGCGGGUCA
RNAcentral lists this transfer RNA (74 nucleotides) under Anaerolineae bacterium. RNAcentral's name for it is "tRNA-Lys". It matches the Rfam family "tRNA". From Rfam's summary of the family: Transfer RNA (tRNA) molecules are approximately 80 nucleotides in length. Their secondary structure includes four short double-helical elements and three loops (D, anti-codon, and T loops). Lineage: Bacteria; Bacillati; Chloroflexota; Anaerolineae. The record is from RNAcentral. RNAcentral also lists the same sequence under 1 other name.